AGCCGAGCGGUAGAGAUUCUUCGGAAUCUUGAGAGCGGCGCACGGGUGCGGAACACGUGUGCAACCUACCUUUAUCAGGGGGAUAGCCUUUCGAAAGGAAGAUUAAUACCCCAUAAUAUAUUUGAUGGCAUCAUUGAAUAUUGAAAACUCCGGUGGAUAGAGAUGGGCACGCGCAAGAUUAGAUAGUUGGUGAGGUAACGGCUCACCAAGUCAAUGAUCUUUAGGGGGCCUGAGAGGGUGAUCCCCCACACUGGUACUGAGACACGGACCAGACUCCUACGGGAGGCAGCAGUGAGGAAUAUUGGACAAUGGGUGAGAGCCUGAUCCAGCCAUCCCGCGUGAAGGACGACGGCCCUAUGGGUUGUAAACUUCUUUUGUAUAGGGAUAAACCUACUCUCGUGAGAGUAGCUGAAGGUACUAUACGAAUAAGCACCGGCUAACUCCGUGCCAGCAGCCGCGGUAAUACGGAGGGUGCAAGCGUUAUCCGGAUUUAUUGGGUUUAAAGGGUCCGUAGGCGGACUCGUAAGUCAGUGGUGAAAUCUCAUAGCUUAACUAUGAAACUGCCAUUGAUACUGCGGGUCUUGAGUAAAGUAGAAGUGGCUGGAAUAAGUAGUGUAGCGGUGAAAUGCAUAGAUAUUACUUAGAACACCAAUUGCGAAGGCAGGUCACUAUGUUUUAACUGACGCUGAUGG
This 692-nucleotide ribosomal RNA is filed under the name Chryseobacterium sp. S4.05.WAE.W.Kidney.N. RNAcentral describes it as "bacterial SSU rRNA". It matches the Rfam family "Bacterial small subunit ribosomal RNA", at positions 60 to 752 of the family's 1533-position model. Lineage: Bacteria; Pseudomonadati; Bacteroidota; Flavobacteriia; Flavobacteriales; Weeksellaceae. The record is from RNAcentral.